This 462-nucleotide ribosomal RNA is filed under the name uncultured Enterobacteriaceae bacterium. Its description in RNAcentral is "bacterial SSU rRNA". It matches the Rfam family "Bacterial small subunit ribosomal RNA", at positions 920 to 1382 of the family's 1533-position model. The record is from RNAcentral. Lineage: Bacteria; Pseudomonadati; Pseudomonadota; Gammaproteobacteria; Enterobacterales; Enterobacteriaceae.
CCCGCACAAGCGGUGGAGCAUGUGGUUUAAUUCGAUGCAACGCGAAGAACCUUACCUGGUCUUGACAUCCACAGAACUUUCCAGAGAUGGAUUGGUGCCUUCGGGAACUGUGAGACAGGUGCUGCAUGGCUGUCGUCAGCUCGUGUUGUGAAAUGUUGGGUUAAGUCCCGCAACGAGCGCAACCCUUAUCCUUUGUUGCCAGCGGUCCGGCCGGGAACUCAAAGGAGACUGCCAGUGAUAAACUGGAGGAAGGUGGGAUGACGUCAAGUCAUCAUGGCCCUUACGACCAGGGCUACACACGUGCUACAAUGGCGCAUACAAAGAGAAGCGACCUCGCGAGAGCAAGCGGACCUCAUAAAGUGCGUCGUAGUCCGGAUUGGAGUCUGCAACUCGACUCCAUGAAGUCGGAAUCGCUAGUAAUCGUGGAUCAGAAUGCCACGGUCGAAUACGUUCCCGGGCCUU